RNAcentral lists this long non-coding RNA (821 nucleotides) under Phoenix dactylifera (date palm). RNAcentral describes it as "long non-coding RNA (PDAC_LNC017894)". Lineage: Eukaryota; Viridiplantae; Streptophyta; Magnoliopsida; Arecales; Arecaceae. The record is from RNAcentral.
UAAGUGAUGAUAACCAGCAAUGUAACGUUCUUUCAAGUGCAUCAGACACUACAAAUGGCUCUGAAGCAGCAUUCAGUGAGGUAAACUUUAAAAUAUUGUGAGAGUUUUGGUGAAACUGGUUGCAAAAUUGAGCAAGGGUGCAAAUAAGCAAAGAUCCACAAAGUCCCACUCUAAAGCAAUUUCGGUCAUUUUCAUGAGCAAGGGUGCAAAUAAGAACAGCACAAGAGACUUAGUAAUAUAGCAAAGAUUGGAUGAUGAUAACUAGUUUAUAUGGUUCUAUCACGUCCAUUCAAGGCCAUAUAAGAGGACCUAUGCGAGCAUGUGUCUAGUCCCAUAUCAGUUGUGCAAUGGAGAGAUUUGGGUACUUAAACUGGGCCAAGGAUACCAAAUAACAUUUUUUGGCUAGCAUUUUUGGGUGAGGUCCUGGGUCAUUACACCAAUAAAAGAAACAAUCAAGCAGGAUGUAAGUUGAGAACGCAGGAUAAAAAUUAAGAAUAUUAUAAAAAAAAGGUUCGGUAAUAAUAGUUGCAAACCAAGUAUCUAUCAUUUUUGAACUAUCAUGUGCAAGAAAGAAUAAAGCAUCAACCAGAACUUCCAACUGUGCCAAAAAUUUCACCAGCCAUCCCGUAUGCCAUUCUUGAGUUGCUCAGCUUUAAAAGUACCACACAGACAGAUGAGGUUGUACUAGUUGAAGCAAACUAGACAUAAAUUAGGAGGUUAAUAUGGAACCACUUGACAAACAUCUCUAGCUAUUUGUAAAUUUAACCAAAAAGCAAUUCACACAAUCCGCAAUAAUUAAACCAAGAACCAGUUACCAAAAC